This 921-nucleotide ribosomal RNA is filed under the name Stenolemopsis sp. RNAcentral describes it as "SSU rRNA". It matches the Rfam family "Eukaryotic small subunit ribosomal RNA", at positions 87 to 910 of the family's 1831-position model. The record is from RNAcentral. Lineage: Eukaryota; Metazoa; Arthropoda; Insecta; Hemiptera; Reduviidae.
CCGCAAAGGGCUCAGUAAACCAGUUUUAAUUUACUAGAGUUGUUACGUUACGUACGUGGAUACCUGUGGUAAUUCUAGAGCUAAUACAUGCAAUUAAGUCCGGACCAGUAAUGGAAAGGACGCUUUUAUUAGAUCAAAAUCAUUUCGCCCGACUCGUUUGGGCGUUGUUUUGGUGAAUCUAGAUAACACACCAGAUCGUACAGUCUUUGUACUGACGACAUCUCUUUCAAACGCCUGACUUAUCAGCUGUCGAUGGUAGACUCUGUGUCUACCAUGGCCCUCACGGGUAACGGGGAAUCAGGGUUCGAUUCCGGAGAGGGAGCCUGAGAAACGGCUACCACAUCCAAGGAAGGCAGCAGGCACGCAAAUUACCCACUCCCGGCACGGGGAGGUAGUGACAAAAAAUAACGAUACGGGACUCUAUUGAGGCCCCGUAAUCGGAAUGAGUACACUUUAAAUCCUUUAACAAGGAUCCAUUGGAGGGCAAGUCUGGUGCCAGCAGCCGCGGUAAUUCCAGCUCCAAUAGCGUAUAUUAAAGUUGUUGCGGUUAAAAAGCUCGUAGUUGGUUCUGCGUGCCGCGCUGUCGGUUCGCCGCCUGUCGGUGUAACUGGCAUGUCGCGGCAUGUCCUGUCGGUGGUGAACGCAAUGCACCGGUACUUGCUAAGGCAAUAGCCGAAGUAUUGUGUCGUGUGCGAUUACGUUUGCCGAUCUCUCCUACUCCGGUGCUCUUAAACGAGUGUCGAGGUAGGCCGACACGUUCACUUUGAACAAAUUAGAGUGCUUAAAGCAGGCUGAAAUAUCUGCCUGAAUAGUGGUGCAUGGAAUGAUAAAAUAGGACCUCGGUUCUAUUUUGUUGGUUUUAGGAAUAUGAGGUAAUGAUCAAUGUGGACUGGCGGGGGCAUUCGUAUUGCGACGUUAGAG